GAUUGGACUGAAAUAAGACUACGAACUUGGAACAUUACUGAGAUGAUUAACAUGGCCCCUAACAAAGAUGAUACGAACAAAUCGAGAAAUGAUCCAAAUUGUU
Non-coding RNA from Solanum tuberosum (potato), 103 nucleotides. The record is from Rfam. NCBI's taxonomy places the organism in Eukaryota, Viridiplantae, Streptophyta, Magnoliopsida, Solanales, Solanaceae.